Candoia aspera is the source of this 264-nucleotide long non-coding RNA. RefSeq lists it as uncharacterized. The transcript is spliced from 3 exons. NCBI's taxonomy places the organism in Eukaryota, Metazoa, Chordata, Lepidosauria, Squamata, Candoiidae. The record is from RefSeq and is a predicted model, not a curated record.
UGGGGUGGGUGUGUCUCCCAGAUGAAUUCCCACCUUUUUGUGCAUGUUGGAGUGUGACAGAAAGCAAGGGCCAAAGGGCCAGAAGAAGGUCAGCUGUACUGAAAAAAGCAGGUUAAUGUUCUGAUUCCCUAUGUGUAAAAUUGAAGUCUUUGAGAUCUGUCAGCUUCCAGAGGAAUAAGAUGAAGCAUUAUCAACCAUUAUAUGGGCUUGAAAUAUGGAAAACUUUCAGAUCUGUUGCCACAAACAAGCAUCACAAGAAACAGG